This 1525-nucleotide ribosomal RNA is filed under the name Klebsiella pneumoniae. RNAcentral describes it as "bacterial SSU rRNA". It matches the Rfam family "Bacterial small subunit ribosomal RNA". Lineage: Bacteria; Pseudomonadati; Pseudomonadota; Gammaproteobacteria; Enterobacterales; Enterobacteriaceae. The record is from RNAcentral.
AAAUUGAAGAGUUUGAUCAUGGCUCAGAUUGAACGCUGGCGGCAGGCCUAACACAUGCAAGUCGAGCGGUAGCACAGAGAGCUUGCUCUCGGGUGACGAGCGGCGGACGGGUGAGUAAUGUCUGGGAAACUGCCUGAUGGAGGGGGAUAACUACUGGAAACGGUAGCUAAUACCGCAUAAUGUCGCAAGACCAAAGUGGGGGACCUUCGGGCCUCAUGCCAUCAGAUGUGCCCAGAUGGGAUUAGCUAGUAGGUGGGGUAACGGCUCACCUAGGCGACGAUCCCUAGCUGGUCUGAGAGGAUGACCAGCCACACUGGAACUGAGACACGGUCCAGACUCCUACGGGAGGCAGCAGUGGGGAAUAUUGCACAAUGGGCGCAAGCCUGAUGCAGCCAUGCCGCGUGUGUGAAGAAGGCCUUCGGGUUGUAAAGCACUUUCAGCGGGGAGGAAGGCGUUAAGGUUAAUAACCUUGGCGAUUGACGUUACCCGCAGAAGAAGCACCGGCUAACUCCGUGCCAGCAGCCGCGGUAAUACGGAGGGUGCAAGCGUUAAUCGGAAUUACUGGGCGUAAAGCGCACGCAGGCGGUCUGUCAAGUCGGAUGUGAAAUCCCCGGGCUCAACCUGGGAACUGCAUUCGAAACUGGCAGGCUAGAGUCUUGUAGAGGGGGGUAGAAUUCCAGGUGUAGCGGUGAAAUGCGUAGAGAUCUGGAGGAAUACCGGUGGCGAAGGCGGCCCCCUGGACAAAGACUGACGCUCAGGUGCGAAAGCGUGGGGAGCAAACAGGAUUAGAUACCCUGGUAGUCCACGCCGUAAACGAUGUCGAUUUGGAGGUUGUGCCCUUGAGGCGUGGCUUCCGGAGCUAACGCGUUAAAUCGACCGCCUGGGGAGUACGGCCGCAAGGUUAAAACUCAAAUGAAUUGACGGGGGCCCGCACAAGCGGUGGAGCAUGUGGUUUAAUUCGAUGCAACGCGAAGAACCUUACCUGGUCUUGACAUCCACAGAACUUUCCAGAGAUGGAUUGGUGCCUUCGGGAACUGUGAGACAGGUGCUGCAUGGCUGUCGUCAGCUCGUGUUGUGAAAUGUUGGGUUAAGUCCCGCAACGAGCGCAACCCUUAUCCUUUGUUGCCAGCGGUUCGGCCGGGAACUCAAAGGAGACUGCCAGUGAUAAACUGGAGGAAGGUGGGGAUGACGUCAAGUCAUCAUGGCCCUUACGACCAGGGCUACACACGUGCUACAAUGGCAUAUACAAAGAGAAGCGACCUCGCGAGAGCAAGCGGACCUCAUAAAGUAUGUCGUAGUCCGGAUUGGAGUCUGCAACUCGACUCCAUGAAGUCGGAAUCGCUAGUAAUCGUAGAUCAGAAUGCUACGGUGAAUACGUUCCCGGGCCUUGUACACACCGCCCGUCACACCAUGGGAGUGGGUUGCAAAAGAAGUAGGUAGCUUAACCUUCGGGAGGGCGCUUACCACUUUGUGAUUCAUGACUGGGGUGAAGUCGUAACAAGGUAACCGUAGGGGAACCUGCGGU